GUUAAAAUAGAAUCUACUUUGAAAUGCAAUCACAUUUUAAAGGUGAACGAAAUUAGAUUAAAAAAAAAAGCCUACCUUUUGAGUUACUUUCAGAAGAUAACACAGGAUGGAGCUCACAUCACGGAGCUCAUGAGAAGCUGAGUGCCAGCUACCACACACACAUUCAGACAUUUGCUGUCGGGCCACGGGCCAUGCUGAUGGAGAAAAGGAAACCACCCCAGGAGGUCUGAGAGAAAUGAGGAAAGGAGGCGUCCAUCUCCAGCCCCAUUCAGACACGCUCCUGGGAGAGAACAGCUCACAUUUGGCUCACGCUUCUCAUAUGCCGAGCGCUCUGCUGUGUUACCUCAGUGACUUUCACUGACUCCCAAGGAAGUGAUGGGGAUGGGGAAACUGGAAUUCAAACCCAUUUCCAACUCCCUCCGGAUCUCGAGAGAUUAACCACAGACACAACUUUUCCUGAACACAGAACAAGAAGGCAAAAGGAAGCAGAGGUCCCUGUUUUCAGGAGAGGACAGGAGAAAGGUGCCAGUACCCUGGCCUUUGGUUAUAUUUCCCUUUCCCUCUUCAGUAACACAUUUCUUGGCAGGACAUCUUUUCUGGAAAACCAGACUUGAGCUUGGAGUGGCUCAACAGCCCUUGCUGUAGCUAGGUUUGAUGGAGAAGCUGAGAGAGCUGCCUGCACCCGGGUAGGAGGCUCUGUCAUGGAGGGGCUCAGGCCAUUGCAGGUUUAGGGCCUAAAUGUUGUGCAAAUAUUUGCCCAACAACUCCCAGUGUGCCUUGGAACAAGCAGCAGGAGCGGCCCUGGCUGAGUCCCUGAAGAGAAACGUGGAUGUGAUGACUUUGAAUGGCUCCCAGCUUCUACUUCCUCAUAA
This 872-nucleotide long non-coding RNA is filed under the name Homo sapiens (human). RNAcentral's name for it is "non-protein coding LINC01588:56". The record is from RNAcentral. Lineage: Eukaryota; Metazoa; Chordata; Mammalia; Primates; Hominidae.